RNAcentral lists this non-coding RNA (28 nucleotides) under Bombyx mori (domestic silkworm). The record is from RNAcentral. Lineage: Eukaryota; Metazoa; Arthropoda; Insecta; Lepidoptera; Bombycidae.
UUAAAUCACAAAUAACUUAUUUCUGUAA